Vidua macroura (Pin-tailed whydah) is the source of this 752-nucleotide long non-coding RNA. RefSeq lists it as uncharacterized. The transcript is spliced from 5 exons. The record is from RefSeq and is a predicted model, not a curated record. NCBI's taxonomy places the organism in Eukaryota, Metazoa, Chordata, Aves, Passeriformes, Viduidae.
AGAGUAAGAACUGAAAGUUAUGCUAAAAAUUGAAGUUUCAUGCUUUGUUGGAUUGCACUUAAACCAGUGAACAGUAAGAGUAUUUUGGAGGUGCUGUUCUGCUACACUUGAAAAUUAAAAUUGGAAAGGAGUAGUCUUGUUGGUGUUGAUCUAAGCUUAGUUGGUGGCUGAAUGCAAACCUGAAACAAACAGCCUUGAUUCUGGUCUGGUCUGUGCAUUUUGCUAUUUGCUUCAGCAGGUUUUGGAAAUCUGGAUGAAAGCUCCCUGGUCUGAGCAAGUGCUAGUGAGCUUAGCGCAGAGGACAGAGAACUACUGACAGCUUAUCAUCACAGUUUUGAUGAAAAGGUGGAUCUGGACCUCAUUAUGCACUCACUUCAUAACAUCUGUCAUAGUUGUGAGACCGGAGCGAUUUUAAUAUUUCUUCCUGGAUAUGAUGAGAUAGCUUGAGGGACCGCAUUCUUUUUGAUGACAGGAGAUUUGCUGACCAUGCACACAGAUUCUUUCUACAAAUACAGCAGAAACCAGCAUAACAGUCAAUGAUGUGGUAUUUGUUAUUGGCUCAGGCAAGGUGAAAGAGAAGUCUUUUGAUGCACUGAGUUGUGUUACAAUGCUGAAAAUGGUGUGGAUUUCAAAAGCCAGUGCUAUCUAGAGAAAAGGCAGCUAUUAACAAGUCAUCUACAUUCUGAAUCAGGACAGCCCCUUCUCUCAAUUGAAAACCUGUAAGUAACUGCUCCAGUGCCUGGCCAAAUAAA